GAUGAACGCUGGCGGCGUGCUUAACACAUGCAAGUCGAACGAAGCAUUUAGAACAGAUUACUUCGGUUUGAAGUUCUUUAUGACUGAGUGGCGGACGGGUGAGUAACGCGUGGGUAACCUGCCUUGUACUGGGGGAUAGCAGCUGGAAACGGCUGGUAAUACCGCAUAAGCGCACAAUGUUGCAUGACAUGGUGUGAAAAACUCCGGUGGUAUAAGAUGGACCCGCGUCUGAUUAGCUAGUUGGUGAGAUAACAGCCCACCAAGGCGACGAUCAGUAGCCGACCUGAGAGGGUGACCGGCCACAUUGGGACUGAGACACGGCCCAGACUCCGACGGGAGGCAGCAGUGGGGAAUAUUGCACAAUGGAGGAAACUCUGAUGCAGCGACGCCGCGUGAGUGAAGAAGUAAUUCGUUAUGUAAAGCUCUAUCAGCAGGGAAGAUAGUGACGGUACCUGACUAAGAAGCGCCGGCUAAAUACGU
This 480-nucleotide ribosomal RNA is filed under the name uncultured bacterium. RNAcentral describes it as "partial 16S ribosomal RNA". It matches the Rfam family "Bacterial small subunit ribosomal RNA", at positions 28 to 506 of the family's 1533-position model. The record is from RNAcentral.